AGCAGUCGCCGCGGGAAUACGUAGGUGGCAAGCGUUGUCCGGAAUUAUUGGGCGUAAAGGGCUCGCAGGCGGUUUCUUAAGUCUGAUGUGAAAGCCCCCGGCUCAACCGGGGAGGGUCAUUGGAAACUGGGAAACUUGAGUGCAGAAGAGGAGAGUGGAAUUCCACGUGUAGCGGUGAAAUGCGUUGAGAUCGGAAAGAACACCAACGGCGAAAGCACUCUGCUGGGCCGACACUGACACUGAGAGACGAAAGCUAGGGGAGCAAAUGGGAUUAGAUACCCCUGUAGUCCCUGUCUCUUAUAC
This 303-nucleotide ribosomal RNA is filed under the name uncultured bacterium. RNAcentral describes it as "partial 16S ribosomal RNA". It matches the Rfam family "Bacterial small subunit ribosomal RNA", at positions 507 to 807 of the family's 1533-position model. The record is from RNAcentral.